Aegilops tauschii subsp. strangulata is the source of this 1389-nucleotide long non-coding RNA. RefSeq lists it as uncharacterized. Lineage: Eukaryota; Viridiplantae; Streptophyta; Magnoliopsida; Poales; Poaceae. The record is from RefSeq and is a predicted model, not a curated record.
CGCACUUCUCUCCCUCUCGCUCGAGCCGCCGUCGCCUGCCAUCCUCCCCGUCCGCCGCCGCCGCCCCCAUCCUUCCCGUCCGCCGCGGCGCCACCAUCCUCCGCGUCCGCCACCGCCAUCCUCCCCGUCCGCCACCGCCGCCCCCAUCCUCCCUGUCCGCCGCCGCCAUGCCAUCGCCGCCACCUACCGGACGGCGCUGUGAAGGAAGCGACCAGAGAGGGAGGCGUUGCCGGUGUCGUGGACCCAUGCCGGCGCAACGGCGUGUGCGCGUGCCUCCGCGGGUUCGCGCAGCGGUCGCCGGAGGCGUCGCGGGUCAACUGCGUCGGGGAGGAUGGGCGCGCGCCACGCCGCUCUUCCCCGACACAACAUCCGCCGUUCUUCCUUGGUCGGGUGGUGGUCAAGUGCUUCUUCAAGUUGGGCCGCACGCUGGGACAGGAGCCCCAGGCCGCAUGCUUCUUCUUGCGCUCCAUCGGGAGAGACCUCGAGGAUGCCAAGAUCUGCAAUGGCCUGAAGAACGAGGCAAUUCUUGGAAGCAACACAUACAUGUGGUCUCUCUUUCACUAUGAUUCCAAGGUUGUUUCUCUCCAUAUUCCAUUCGUCCGGUCAUCUCCUUGUUGUCUAUUGUGUGUCUUUUCCUGAUUCGUUUGUCGUCUCGCAGCUGGACUUUGGCAGCCGCUGCUCCUCGGCAAUCAACAGGAGGUACAGCCGCUGCCACCACUCCUUCGCAACGACGCAGGCCAGCGACGAGGAGGCUCGCAAUGGUGGGGGACACAUCACCAUCUGCCGGAGAGGAGAAAGGCAUACCUACCCCUUAACGAUUGAAAUGCAGGUCCAGGGAAAACAUAUCUGUACUACUAUUGGGCCAAUUGAUGCUAGGUGUACAUUGAGAUAUUUAAAAAAAAAAUAGAUCCUUGAUGCCAGACAUAGUGCAAUGGUGAGAUCCACUUAUUUAUGAUGGCGAGGGUGAUUGUUAGGCUGGCAUGUGGAGCUGUACUAAUAAGCUAUGAGAAGGUCCUCACAUCACAACACCCGAGCAAGUCUGGCAAGGCUUGCUCGCCAUGGCCUACCACAUCAGCGGGACGGAUCGAGCACGUGAUCACCAUCCGCAGGUCUUUCGUCACAACACCUGAGCGAGCGAGAUGUUCAGACAAAGUUAUAUGAUACACUGCUAUUGACAUAUGUCGUAGAUGGACAGUACAUAUCGUUUCUCUCCAUGUUACAAUUUCUGUGACCUCGGCAUUUGGAAGACAUGUCAUCUGAAUCGUCUAUCAUGACCGAACCAUUACUAUCACAAGCAUCUUACUUUUAGAAAUCCAUAUGAUGGUUCAGUUAUCUAUAUUAUGUGUGCCAUUUGUUACCUCUGAAAUAUAUAUUAUGUGUGCCCUGUCA